UCCGAGUUGACCCCGGCAGUCUCCCAUGAGUCCCCGGCAUAACCCGCUGGCAACAUGGAACGAGGGUUGCGCUCGUUGCGGGACUUAACCCAACAUCUCACGACACGAGCUGACGACAACCGUGCACCACCUGUGAACCGGCCCCAAAGGGGAAGCCGCAUCUCUGCGGCGGUCCGGCCCAUGUCAAGCCUUGGUAAGGUUCUUCGCGUUGCAUCGAAUUAAUCCGCAUGCUCCGCCGCUUGUGCGGGCCCCCGUCAAUUCCUUUGAGUUUUAACCUUGCGGCCGUACUCCCCAGGCGGAAUGCUUAAUGCGUUAGCUGCGACACCGGAAAGCUAGGCUCCCCAACGUCUAGCACUCAUCGUUUACGGCGUGGACUAC
This 378-nucleotide unclassified non-coding RNA is filed under the name uncultured Actinomycetes bacterium. RNAcentral describes it as "uncultured actinobacterium contains 16S-23S intergenic spacer region". The record is from RNAcentral. Lineage: Bacteria; Bacillati; Actinomycetota; Actinomycetes.